Molecule: non-coding RNA, 1337 nt
Organism: Danio rerio (zebrafish)
Lineage: Eukaryota; Metazoa; Chordata; Actinopteri; Cypriniformes; Danionidae
Source: RefSeq, a predicted model, not a curated record
AUUGAAAUGAAAUAUGUUAAAUUAUGAAUUUGUACAGUAUAUAGACAUACAAACACAGACUAUUACCUGAUUUUACUAUCAAUGUUUUUUCAUGAAAAAAAAAUAUAUAUAUAUAUCUUGAUUUAUUUUAUAUUCACUGACAAAUUAUAGCAAUUAACUUUCCUGUUAUAUUCCUAUAUAUUUUUAAUGCUAAAGAAGAAUAUAUUUAAGAGGCGGCAAAACCAAAGCUCCAAAAAACACCAAUUUGUUAAAUUAAAAAGGCUAACACAAAGCGUGUAACGUUUCAGCACACCGGCUCUUCAUCAGACAGUAUUCAUCACAGCAUGUUGCUCUGUUUAUUCACUUCCGGAUCACACAAUCUCAUACAUUUCCACAACAAAAAAUAGAAAAAUACACAUAAAGAAUACACAUUAGUUAAUAAUAAUAACUAAUCAAUAACUAACACAUAAUAAAAAUUAGUUUAUACUAAAGAAGUCACUUAUGCUCACUAAGAGUGCUUUUGAUUGACAAGAAAUUUAGUACAAACAAUAAUAUUAUGACGUAUAAAAAAUCAAAUGACCAUUUCAAUUUAUUCCUGAAUUUAGAGAAUAGGUGCGUUCAACUUCAUGCAGUGCUGUGGAGAUUGACCAAAACCUGUCUUAAAGGGGUGCAUGCCGAUUAUACAUUUUGUUCGGCUUGAAGCUGCACCAACGCCACGUAACUACCACAUGUGGCUUCAAAGUACCGUGACAGCUCUCUGAGAUCAGACGACUGAUUCAGCCAGUGCAGCAUCUAAAGAGCGACUGCAGGAACUGCGAUGACGACACCGAUGUUAUACAAUUGGUUGGAUUCCUCGCAUGACAACAACCACAUGUGUUUCAGAUACUUGUUGACACCUGGACAUGGAUCAGAGUAAAGAGAAUUUGAAGCGCUCAGAGAACAAGUCUUCCUCCCAUUGCAUCUGAUGAGAUUCCAGUACCAUGUGGCGAGGCUGGAUUAAAGAUAAUGAGGUUUAGUUUCUUGCACAGACUGGUCAUUUCAUUUAAAACCUCAGUGUAACAUCAGGAGCCAGUAUUUUUGUAUAUGUUUGUUAACUUUCAUAAUGUGAGUCAUCAGGAAUCGCCGUUUCAGCUAAAAAGUAUUUCUACGGGAUCAAAAUAAGCCACCCACACUUUUUUGAUAGACGCAUCAGCUAAAUUAAUACAGGUAAAUGUAUUUAAAGCACAGAAAAAUGAAAUGUAUAACACACAUUUACUCUGUGUUGGGGAUUGAGUAAUUUGUCGUAUUAUCUCAUGCAUGUCAGUGAUUAUGUUACAUUACAAAUGUAAAUAUGGGAGGUGAAUUCAUUCAUUUUUGUC